AGAGUUUGAUCCUGGCUCAGGAUGAACGCUGGCGGCGUGCCUAACACAUGCAAGUUGAGCGAUUUACUUCGGUAAAGAGCGGCGGACGGGUGAGUAACGCGUGGGUAACCUACCCUGUACACACGGAUAACAUACCGAAAGGUAUGCUAAUACGGGAUAAUAUAUUUGAGAGGCAUCUCUUGAAUAUCAAAGGUGAGCCAGUACAGGAUGGACCCGCGUCUGAUUAGCUAGUUGGUAAGGUAACGGCUUACCAAGGCGACGAUCAGUAGCCGACCUGAGAGGGUGAUCGGCCACAUUGGAACUGAGACACGGUCCAAACUCCUACGGGAGGCAGCAGUGGGGAAUAUUGCACAAUGGGCGAAAGCCUGAUGCAGCAACGCCGCGUGAGUGAUGAAGGCCUUCGGGUCGUAAAACUCUGUCCUCAAGGAAGAUAAUGACGGUACUUGAGGAGGAAGCCCCGGCUAACUACGUGCCAGCAGCCGCGGUAAUACGUAGGGGGCUAGCGUUAUCCGGAUUUACUGGGCGUAAAGGGUGCGUAGGCGGUCUUUCAAGUCAGGAGUGAAAGGCUACGGCUCAACCGUAGUAAGCUCUUGAAACUGGGAGACUUGAGUGCAGGAGAGGAGAGUGGAAUUCCUAGUGUAGCGGUGAAAUGCGUAGAUAUUAGGAGGAACACCAGUUGCGAAGGCGGCUCUCUGGACUGUAACUGACGCUGAGGCACGAAAGCGUGGGGAGCAAACAGGAUUAGAUACCCUGGUAGUCCACGCUGUAAACGAUGAGUACUAGGUGUCGGGGGUUACCCCCNCCUUAAUCGGAGAGUUCCCUUCGGGGACAUUGGUGACAGGUGGUGCAUGGUUGUCGUCAGCUCGUGUCGUGAGAUGUUGGGUUAAGUCCCGCAACGAGCGCAACCUUGCCAAGGUUGAAGUCGCGAGUUCGAAUCUCGUUUCCCGCUCCAAAUUUUGUGUUUAUAUUGUAAUGUGGGUGCAUAGCUCAGCUGGAUAGAGCAACGCCCUUCUAAGGCGUGUGUCCGGGGUUCGAAUCCCUGUGCGCUCACCACAUAUAUAUUGGGGAUUAGCCAAGUCGGUAAGGCACAUGACUUUGACUCAUGUAUGCGUAGGUUCGAGUCCUGCAUCCCCAGCCAAAUGAUGUACUUACUAAGCUAUAUUUGAAUUAUUU
RNAcentral lists this ribosomal RNA (1173 nucleotides) under Clostridioides difficile. Its description in RNAcentral is "bacterial SSU rRNA". It matches the Rfam family "Bacterial small subunit ribosomal RNA", at positions 8 to 1154 of the family's 1533-position model. The record is from RNAcentral. Lineage: Bacteria; Bacillati; Bacillota; Clostridia; Peptostreptococcales; Peptostreptococcaceae.